Molecule: long non-coding RNA, 512 nt
Filed under: Capsicum annuum
Lineage: Eukaryota; Viridiplantae; Streptophyta; Magnoliopsida; Solanales; Solanaceae
Description: long non-coding RNA (CANN_LNC001648)
Source: RNAcentral
AUUUAAGUGUUUUAGUUUGAUUGGGCAUGAAGUUUAUGAAAUAAAAUGAGAUUUUUAAAUCUAGUGAUCUUAAAUUGGAAAACUUACUAAAUAUAGAAAUGGACACUCUUUGGGAAAGACUAAAAAGAAAACUAAGACACGUAAAUUGGGAUAGAGGGAAUAGUAUGUUUCGGUUUCUUUUUGUUAUAAGUUUUGAAAUGUUAGUAACAUUUUAAUAAAAAAAUACACAAUAAAAGCAAAUGAUCCAUAUUAGAUACAUACUAACUAAUUGGAAAACUUCCACGAGGUAAUGGUAAGAUCCGCGUAUAUUCUACCCUCCCCAGAUCCCACUUGUGUGAUUUCAUUGGGUAUGUUGUUGUUGUUGUAUUGGCUAGUUGGGAAUUAGGAUUUAUCUGUUAUUACAAUUACAAUAAAUCGGAUUAGAGGCAUUAAUCUCAAUUUGAUUUAUAAGAAAAAAUUAGUGUGUUAGAAAUGAAACUGCAUAGAGUGGAAUGGUUAGUGAGGAUUCAUAU